Molecule: ribosomal RNA, 468 nt
Filed under: uncultured bacterium
Lineage: Bacteria
Description: partial 16S ribosomal RNA
Rfam family: Bacterial small subunit ribosomal RNA
Source: RNAcentral
GACGAACGCUGGCGGCGUGCUUAACACAUGCAAGUCGAACGGCGACGCACCAGCUUCCUGCUGUGGCUCAUUGGCGAACGGGUGAGUAACACGUGAGCAACCUGCCCUUCACUUUGGAAUAAGCGCUGGAAACGGCGCCUACUAUAGUAUACGAUACGGGUUCCCAUGGGCACCAUCUGAUCUUCUUUCCGGUCGGGGUUGGAUGCGCGGGUGACCAGCUUGUUGGUUGGGUAGUGGCUCACCAAGCGAAAGACGGAUAGGCGGCUUGAGAGGGGGACCGGGCACACUGGGACUGAGAGAGGGAGCAGACUCCAACGGGAGGCAGCAGUGGGGAAUAUUGCACAGUGGGCGAAAGCCUGAGACGGCGACGCCGCGGGUGGGAUGACGGCCUUCGGGUUGUAAACAUCUUUCGGCAGAGAAGAAGCGAAAGUGACGGUACCUGAAGAAGAAGCACCGGCUAACUACGUG